This is a long non-coding RNA of Mus musculus (house mouse), 3386 nucleotides long. RefSeq annotates it as predicted gene, 41069. The record is from RefSeq and is a predicted model, not a curated record. The transcript is spliced from 3 exons. Lineage: Eukaryota; Metazoa; Chordata; Mammalia; Rodentia; Muridae.
GCGUCAGUCAUUUCUCUCCGUGAUCAUGGGGCUGGCUACACACUGCAGUCGUAGGCAAGCUAUUCUAAGGCAUCAGUAUACCCACCUGAAAAAAAAAAUGGGUAUAAAGACAGCCUCAUGAUGUCAUGAGAAUUAACAGAUGAGUACAUGCAAAGCACUCAGAGCAUGUGCAGACCAAGUACACAGUAAUCGCUAGCAACUAUGACACAGCUCUCAAAGGCUUUGGACACAUCCCAAACUGUAAUUUACCUACAAGGAAGUGCAUUCGUCUCAGUUAAGCUGAUCACUAAAAUGGGCUACCUUUCCAGGGAAUAGCGUCAGAAAGGCUGGAGCACAGAGCAGUGUUUACCAGGCGGUCAGCACUCACUCUCCAGGAAUCCUCCAGGACUCGAGAAGGAAGCUGGGAUUUCUAAGACAUCCAGCCUUGUGGCCUGAAGACCUACAGACUUUUGGCUUUUCCACCCUGAGACAGCCAUUGUUCAGGCCGAGAAAUACUGUCGUCUCCCAGGAUUUAAGUUGGAAAUUAAUCUAUCUUCGGAAUGCAUUGUGCUUGAUUUUAAAAAUUGCUGUUGGAGUUUCUCACUCGAGAUUCAUAAACACAUGAAUUUUGGCUUGAGGUUAUGAUGGAAUUCUCAUUUAAUUUCUAGUAUGUGUAGCACCUACACAUAGUCCUGUCAGUUUGUACUACUUACUUGUGUGAAGUGGCCUUCUCAGUACAGAAGAUUAUAAAACCAAACCAUCUACAACUCUGAAAAAUAUGAAAGAUGCUCAUAUUAAAUAUUUAGCUAAUAUUAAAAUCUUUAUGUGGGAAUAAACAAUUGCAUCAAUCUCCUUGAUAUGAUAAUUUUCUAGUCUUCAAUGAUCAAAUCAUAAGUAUGCUAAAUAGUUGUUCUAAAAUCACUUUUUGAAGGUUAAUCGUCAGGGCUGGCGAGAUGGCUCAGUGGUUAGGAUCACUGGCUGCUCUUCCAGAGGUCCUGAGUUUAAUCCCAGAAACCACAUGGUGGCUCACAACCAUCUGUAAUGGGAUCUGAUGCCCUCUUCUGGUGUGUCUAAAGACAGCUACAGUGUACUCACAAACAUAAAAUACAAUUUAAAAAUGUAUCAUCAGAAAGCAUUUGGUUUUAUAUUCUUACUUUAAAAUCUAGUGUUAAAUUUUCUCCAACAAAAAAGGGGUUGCAUCUUUACUUUAAAAAUGUUUUUAUUUGGUGGGGUGCAUGUAUAUGUGCACGUGUUACAUGUAAAUCUUCCCACCAAGGCCAGCAGAGGACCAGGGAUGCCCUGGAACUAGAAUCAUAUGCUGUUGGGAGCCAUCCAAAGUGGGCGCUGUGCACUGAACUCAGGCCUCUGCAUGAACAGUAAGUGCUCUUAAUUGCUGAGCCAUCUCUCAAGCCAGGAAAACAAAUUCUACAGUUCGAUGAUUACCUUGCUCUCAACCUAAUAGGAUAGGCCUAUGGUUUCCAGCAACUAUGUGCUUUCACCUAAAUCUGAGAAGAAAAUGGAAAAAGGACUAGCUCCAGGUGGAAGGUUCAGAGGAUGGGGGACUUAAAGCUGAUGUGUGGCUCAUGCUAUGACUGUGCAGAGUAAAAUGCGUGAAAAGCAUAUGCCCAUCGGUUCAGCCUCUGUGAGCUCCUGUGACUCCAGGUUAGCUAAACGUUAUUUUCGGCUUACCAUUUCAUUUAAGAUUUAUAACGAAUCAAUUCCAUCUUAGAAAAUAUUUGAUCCAGCCAGAAUUAUCUGUGAUAAAGAGUAAGAUAGGGCUAGAUGCUGUGGCUUACACCAUGUAAUUCCAGAUUCAGAAGAGAAAGGAAAGAGAACAAGUUGAAGGCUCUCUCUCACGCGCGUGCAUGUGUGUGUGUGUGUUUGUUUUAUUUAGCUAAUCAAUAGCCUUUGGAAAUGUAUGUAUGUCCAUCUUACUAAGACAACUGCUCUAUCAUCAAACUAUACUUCACAACUGCCUUCUAUAAUUAGAAUUGUCAGUUUCUAGGUUAAUUAAAUCCCAGUGAAAGUUAUGAAAUAUUGAAUUAGUGAAUGAAUACUAUUUAUUGAGUUCUGGCUCAAUCAUAGUAAUUACUAUGAUUUCCUUGGUGGUAAAUUUAUAUAUAUAAAAUUCCUCCUGUGACUUUGUUAUGAAAUCAUUAAGAUAAUUCAACUGCUUUCAGUAUGAUAAACUCACUCCUUUGUCAGGCAGCAGGCAUGGGGGAAUAAAGGGGGUCAGAAAGAACCCGCAUCACACAAGAGUUCCCGUAGCAGGCAGACUCGGGGAACUGCUGAGCGCUCUCCACGUAGUCCUGUGGGCAUCUGGCUGUGGGAAUCCAUGGAACCCCAGUCGGUAUAGGGUAGAGAGGAAGCAAUCUGAGGUCUCUGGGCCUCACGGAGGCUAGAGAUGACAGGUUCUAGCUCUUGGGCAUCACAGGAUGUUGCUGGACACCUCAGAAGAGCUGAAAACAAAGUGGGGACCCUGGGGUCAGCUUGGUCAGCCCCAGGGCCAAAGGCAGAGGAGAGCAGGGGGAGAGGGGGCGUGCCAUACCCACUCCAGUGGAGUUUGCAUGACAAGUUCAAAAGCUUGACCGCAGUCCUGAGGCAAAAAGUUUCAUGGAAACUGGUCUCCUGGAAGUUCUUUGGCAUCCUGUAACACAGAUGUGUUUCAGAUUUGUCUCUGAGAGUUUUGCAUGCUUUUCUUCAGUAUUGUUUUAUUAUAGAUGCCCCCAAGGAAUGAUUUGACAAAUAGCUAAGUUAGAUUGAGCAUGGCUUCCUGGCAUCCACCAGUAUCCUAGGCAGUCUUUGAGCUGCCCCUGGGUUUGGAAUUUCAUAAGAAUGUUAGUCAUUCAGACCAAAUGUCUCCAGUGUUGACAGUGAUCAGGCAUUGCAGUUUACCAAAUAGGAGCUAGCAAUCUCAGGGCUAGUUCAACAAAGUAAACUUAGAAUUCUCAUUAUAGACAUGAAUGGCAGCCCACAUUACAUAAUGGUAGAAAGAAGGUGGGUUGUGGUUUAAGGAGCAACUAGAGUAUUGUAUUAUUCAUGAAAAGGUUAGUAGAAAGGAACUUCUUUGGUGCAUGUUUUUCACUAGGCUCAGAGGAAUAGCAUAAUUAGGUAUUUACUAAGGGACCACUGGUGGUGGGUUUAACAAUAGACUAGUAUGCACUUGGGCAUAUUAGCCCUUUCACCUGGCUCCUGAGAAUAGCUGACUUGAAAUAGGGCUGAUCUUAUCUCAGUUGUAAACACUGCCUAGCUCCUGCUAGCUUUUUUGUAUGCAUUUUCCCUAUUUUGUGUAAAGAGCCAUUAUACAUCUCAAUGUACCUUGACUGAUAUAUUGCCUAACUUCCUUGUUUUUUAUUCUGUUUUAUACGUUUGGUGCUUGCUUUGAGAAAUUACAUUCAGAUACAACA